AUCAUCGAACCAGGGUAGUUUGGAAUACCAGACAGCGUCGUUGGCUCCACCUGUGACGGUGGUGCAAUUCUCCGAUGAUGUUGGAGUCAGCAGCAGUUGUAGGUUGCAUAAAAAUUAGAGAAAAGCAUCCAGUACACUGACAUCCUGGAGCAGAGGGAUAACAGGGUGUACGGUGGAAUUUCGGAAGAAACGGUGUUCUGGGAUACCACUUACCCACUGGAUGACAGUCAGACGGUCCUGUUUGGUGGCAAUAAAGCUGCACAGAACAAACAAAAACUGUACGGAACAGAAUCUUCCAACACUGGCAGACCAGGUUAGAUCUAUCGCUUAUGGUGGUGGAAUCGCGGAAAUAUAGGUCAUAAACAACGGGUGAAAUUACUUUCACAACGGUAUAUGGACCAGAGAACUUGGGAGCCAGUUUGGCUGUAAAGCUAUCAACGGCGGAUGACAACGGAUUAGCACGGCGCAGAACUCUAUCACCGACAU
Molecule: long non-coding RNA, 486 nt
Organism: Coccinella septempunctata (seven-spotted ladybird)
Lineage: Eukaryota; Metazoa; Arthropoda; Insecta; Coleoptera; Coccinellidae
Exons: 3
Source: RefSeq, a predicted model, not a curated record